CAGUCGCCACGGUAAUACAGAGGGUGCGAGCGUUAAUCGGAUUUACUGGGCGUAAAGCGUGCGUAGGCGGCUUUUUAAGUCGGAUGUGAAAUCCCUGAGCUUAACUUAGGAAUUGCAUUCGAUACUGGGAAGCUAGAGUAUGGGAGAGGAUGGUAGAAUUCCAGGUGUAGCGGUGAAAUGCGUAGAGAUCUGGAGGAAUACCGAUGGCGAAGGCAGCCAUCUGGCCUAAUACUGACGCUGAGGUACGAAAGCAUGGGGAGCAAACAGGAUUAGAGACCCGUGUAGUCCCUGUCUCUUAUAC
This 301-nucleotide ribosomal RNA is filed under the name uncultured bacterium. RNAcentral's name for it is "partial 16S ribosomal RNA". It matches the Rfam family "Bacterial small subunit ribosomal RNA", at positions 509 to 807 of the family's 1533-position model. The record is from RNAcentral.